This 464-nucleotide ribosomal RNA is filed under the name Vreelandella stevensii. RNAcentral describes it as "partial 16S ribosomal RNA". It matches the Rfam family "Bacterial small subunit ribosomal RNA", at positions 338 to 795 of the family's 1533-position model. Lineage: Bacteria; Pseudomonadati; Pseudomonadota; Gammaproteobacteria; Oceanospirillales; Halomonadaceae. The record is from RNAcentral.
CCUACGGGUGGCUGCAGUGGGGAAUAUUGGACAAUGGGCGAAAGCCUGAUCCAGCCAUGCCGCGUGUGUGAAGAAGGCCUUCGGGUUGUAAAGCACUUUCAGUGGGGAAGAAAGCCUUGGGGCUAAUACCCUCGAGGAAGGACAUCACCCACAGAAGAAGCACCGGCUAACUCCGUGCCAGCAGCCGCGGUAAUACGGAGGGUGCGAGCGUUAAUCGGAAUUACUGGGCGUAAAGCGCGCGUAGGCGGUCUGAUAAGCCGGUUGUGAAAGCCCCGGGCUCAACCUGGGAACGGCAUCCGGAACUGUCAGGCUAGAGUGCAGGAGAGGAAGGUAGAAUUCCCGGUGUAGCGGUGAAAUGCGUAGAGAUCGGGAGGAAUACCAGUGGCGAAGGCGGUCUUCUGGACUGACACUGACGCUGAGGUGCGAAAGCGUGGGUAGCAAACAGGAUUAGAUACCCGUUAGUC